Molecule: long non-coding RNA, 885 nt
Organism: Ricinus communis (castor bean)
Lineage: Eukaryota; Viridiplantae; Streptophyta; Magnoliopsida; Malpighiales; Euphorbiaceae
Exons: 2
Source: RefSeq, a predicted model, not a curated record
GUUAGUUUAUUGGAAAGAUAAUUAAGUGUACAUAUGAAUAUAAUACUAAUAAUAAUAAUGUGUUAAUAUAGCAACUAUUUUAAUCAAGGGCCUAGGGGCAUUUUCCUUAUAUGCCAAAUAUUGCAUUUGGUCUUGAAAAGAAAAAAAAAAAAAAACUCAUUUUCCUUCAUCUUUUUCCCUUCCCCCGUCAAUAUCUCCUUCUCCCUCCCUUAACCUCCCAUUUCGGCAGCCACUCGACAUCUGAUUACAGCCAAAAUAGGUCCUUAGUGUUGUCGUCAUCGUGCCACCACCAAGCUCGCCUGAAAAGGCCAAGAAAUGGCAGAAUGAGGAGAAGGAAGCCGCCACUUGCUAUCGCCUCUGGUACAAUUACUUGCUGGUGUUUUCUAGCCAAACCAAUGCUAGAAGCAACUUCCUCGGACCUUAAACCUCAAUUGGGACUGUUAUAACCCCUAACGUCUCCUAUAAACUAGUGACCAGAGCUGGUGUAGCUUCGCCGCACUUGCUUGAUUUUUAGGAUUUUUGGUGAUUGUGUGGUGAAAAUAAUUGUAUAUUUGGACUCCUUGCAUCUCGAUCUACAAGUGGGUGCCUUCGGAUUCAAUUUCCGAGACUGUUAGAAAUUCCAACAAUUGGACCUUAGUGUUUUCAGGAUGUGCGUGACAGCGGAUAUUCGUCUCGGUGAUAGUUAGGACUUUCUGUUGCUUCAUUAUUUUGCCAGCCCGAUUUCUUCCAUCUUCGGGUUCAAUGUAAUUGCUUUCACUAUAUUUUUGCAUUUCACUUAUAGAGGCUCUGCAGUACUUAUUUUAGGACUUAAUUAUGUAUGUUUGACAUUUAUAUCUGAUAAAUAUUAUUAAGUAGGAUGAUGGUAUUUUAUUAAAUUAUUGAUUA